GAUGAAGAACGUAGUGAAAUGCGAUACGUAAUGUGAAUUGCAAAUUCAGUGAAUCAUCGAGUCUUUGAACGCACAUUGCGCCCCCUGGUAUUCCGGGGGGCAUGCCUGUCCGAGCGUCAUUGCUGCCCUCAAGCACGGCUUGUGUGUUGGGCUUCCGUCCCUGGCAACGGGGACGGGCCCAAAAGGCAGUGGCGGCACCAUGUCUGGUCCUCGAGCGUAUGGGGCUUUGUCACCCGCUCCCGUAGGUCCAGCUGGCAGCUAGCCUCGCAACCAAUCUUUUUAACCAGGUUGACCUCGGAUCAGGUAGGGAUACCCGCUGAACUUAAGCAUAUCAAUAAGCGGAGGA
RNAcentral lists this unclassified non-coding RNA (346 nucleotides) under soil metagenome. Its description in RNAcentral is "partial contains 5.8S ribosomal RNA, internal transcribed spacer 2, and large subunit ribosomal RNA". The stretch from base 1 to 119 matches the Rfam family "5.8S ribosomal RNA", at positions 35 to 154 of the family's 154-position model. The record is from RNAcentral.